GCAACGAGCGCAACCCUUGCCUUUAGUUGCCAGCAGUUCGGCUGGGCACUCUAAAGGGACUGCCGGUGUUAAACCGGAGGAAGGUGGGGAUGGACGUCAAGUCCUCAUGGCCUUUAUGACCAGGGCUACACACGUACUACAAUGGCCGAUACAAAGGGCAGCGACACUGCGAGGUGAAGCCAAUCCCGUAAAAUACGGUCUCAGUCCGGAUUGGAGUCUGCAACUCGACUCCAUGAAGUUGGAAUCGCUAGUAAUCGUGGAUCAGCAUGCCACGGUGAAUACGUUCCCGGGCCUU
RNAcentral lists this ribosomal RNA (295 nucleotides) under uncultured Desulfobulbus sp. RNAcentral describes it as "partial 16S ribosomal RNA". It matches the Rfam family "Bacterial small subunit ribosomal RNA", at positions 1089 to 1382 of the family's 1533-position model. The record is from RNAcentral. Lineage: Bacteria; Pseudomonadati; Thermodesulfobacteriota; Desulfobulbia; Desulfobulbales; Desulfobulbaceae.